Molecule: ribosomal RNA, 257 nt
Filed under: uncultured bacterium
Lineage: Bacteria
Description: partial 16S ribosomal RNA
Rfam family: Bacterial small subunit ribosomal RNA
Source: RNAcentral
UACGUAGGGGGCAAGCGUUGUCCGGAUUUAUUGGGCGUAAAGGGUGCGUAGGCGGUUCCGCAAGUCCUGUGUGAAAUCUUCGGGCUCAACUCGAAGUCUGCACGGGAAACUGCGGGGCUUGAGUGUGGGAGAGGGUGAGUGGAAUUCCCGGUGAUCAGCGGUGAAAUGACGUAGAUAUCGGGAGGAACACCUGUGGCGAAAGCGGCUCACUGGACCAUAACUGACGCUGAUGCACGAAAGCUGGGGGAGCAAACAGG